Molecule: microRNA precursor, 201 nt
Filed under: Citrus reticulata (mandarin orange)
Lineage: Eukaryota; Viridiplantae; Streptophyta; Magnoliopsida; Sapindales; Rutaceae
Source: RNAcentral
AAUAUGACAGGAAUAUGCAGGAUGCUGGAAUCUUGUUUCCUAUCUUUUGGGGGUUAAAAUGAAGAUUGUGGUGACCAUUUUGGAGGAUGGAUGGGUACAACGGGAUAUUGGUGCGGUUCAAUAAGAAAACGGUGCUCAAUACUUUUUGAGCUCCGCUUUUUGAUUGAGCCGUGCCAAUAUCACGUGCCACUCGCUCUCUAA